Molecule: ribosomal RNA, 253 nt
Filed under: uncultured bacterium
Lineage: Bacteria
Description: partial 16S ribosomal RNA
Rfam family: Bacterial small subunit ribosomal RNA
Source: RNAcentral
UACGGAGGGUGCGAGCGUUGUCCGGAAUCAUUGGGCGUAAAGGGCGCGUAGGUGGCCCGGUCAGUUCGUGGUGAAAGCCCGGGGCUCAACCCCGGGAGGCGGAUGGAUACUGCUUGGCUCGAGUCCGGAAGAGGUGAGUGGAAUUCCCGGUGUAGCGGUGAAAUGCGCAGAUAUCGGGAGGAACACCAAUGGCGAAGGCAGCUCACUGGGACGGUACUGACGCUGAGACGCGAAAGCGUGGGGAGCAAACAGG